RNAcentral lists this small nucleolar RNA (205 nucleotides) under Larimichthys crocea (large yellow croaker). Its description in RNAcentral is "Small nucleolar RNA U3 (ENSLCRG00005022012.1)". It matches the Rfam family "Small nucleolar RNA U3". From Rfam's summary of the family: Small nucleolar RNAs (snoRNAs) are involved in the processing and modification of rRNA in the nucleolus. Lineage: Eukaryota; Metazoa; Chordata; Actinopteri; Sciaenidae. The record is from RNAcentral.
AAGACUAUACUUCAGGGAUCAUUCUAUAGUUUCUGAACUUGAGAAAUGUGUUUCUAAAGUGUUGGUCUCGCCAACCACGAUGAUGAGUUGUGAUAUUUCCUUCUGAGCGUGAAGCUGACAGGAUAAUGAUUGUUUCAUAUGUUCUCUGUCAUUGAGAUUGUUCUUUACUUCUUUUGGAGUAUAAGGAAGGAAUAGAUAGAGUGGU